AUAGAGAGUUUUGAGCUGUGCCAUCGACAUGGGUCUGUAUCGUGCCGGUAUCUUGUUGGCACGGUAGAUACAGUCCGUGCCGACGGGCACUUAAAACCUUGCUUAUAACACCAUUGUAAUUUACCAACAGCUCCCAUACAUAAUGCAAGCGGCAGCUUCAAAUUGGAGCUUCUGCUUGUGGGACUCUCAAGCUCAUUUCAGCUUUGUGCUCAAGAAAAAGCAUCAACAUUUUGGUUACCAAACUCAUGGUUGCUGCUUCUCUGAGUAGAUAAAUUGCUUGAAAAGCCAAGUCAAAAGCAAUGCUUUGUAGAACACUAUCUUAUAAGUAACUAUCAGCGGUCAAGCUUUAACAACAGUCCUUUUGUUUUCUAAUUCGGUUCUCUUCUAUAUUCUAUGUAUAGGAGGUGCUCAAAGUCAUUCAGGUGAAAUUCGAGAAAGCAAAGGAGGAAGUGAACUCAGACCUGGCUGUUUUUGCAGGGGACUUGGUUGGCAUUAUGGAAAAAUAUGCAGAUACGCAUCCUGAAUGGAAAGAAACGUUAGAAGAUCUGCUGAUACUUGCUCGGAGCUGUUGUGUCAUGACACCUGGCGAGUUCUGGAUCCAGUGUGAAGCCAUAGUGCAGGACUUAGAUGACCAUCGCCAGGAACUUCCUAUGGGGGUACUAAAGAAAUUAUAUACUCGUAUGCUGUUUAUUCUUACUAGAUGCACAAGAUUGCUUCAGUUCCACAAGGAAAGUGGCUUUGCUGAGGAUGAAGUCGUUAUGGAUCUUCGUGAACCUAGAAUUGUACAGUCUGCUGAUAGAAAAAUUUCAGCUGGACCAGCUAUAGAUGGCAAAAGCACUAAAGUUAUAAAGAGCUCCAAUGAGGCAGCUUCCUCAAGAAAAUCUUAUAGUCAAGAACAGCGUAACUUGAAGUGGAAAAGAAGUCAAGAGAUAAAGCCGGUCAAUUUCUUUUCACCACUUGGGGCGGAAAUUGGGAAGGAUAGUGAAUCCCCUGCUAGCAGAGAGCGAAUGGCUUCUUGGAAGCCCUUCCCUUCUCCUGGUGUUAAACAUCAAAAAGCAGCUAGUUCCCUUGCUAAAGAGGAACCAUCAAACAGGGUUGUCGAACCUUCACACUUUACGAGUAAAAGAGAUAUGAUCUCAACCACUAUAAACCCCCCUGAAUUACCUAGUUCCUUAGAUUCUUGUGCUCAACCAUCUAUUGAAACGAAGCAUCAGCACAAAGUUUCUUGGGGUAAUUGGUCUGAUCAACCGAAUAUUUCUGAAGAUGGCUCAAUAAUGUGUCGCAUUUGUGAGGAGCAUGUGCCCACUCUCUAUGUGGAAGAUCAUUCAAAGGUCUGUGCCAUUGCAGACAGGUGUGAUCAGAAAGGUGUAAGUGUUGACGAACGCCUUCUAAGAAUUGCUGAAACCUUAGAGAAGAUGAUAGAGUCUUACCCCCAAAAGGAUCAUCCGAAUGCAGUUGGAAGUCCAGAUGUUGCAAAAGUUUCUAAUUCAAGUGUAACUGAAGAGUCUGAUGUUCUUUCUCCGAAGCUCAGUGAUUGGUCCCGAAGAGGAUCGGCUGACAUGCUGGACUGCUUUCAAGAGUCUGACAACCCUAUCUGUUUUGACGAUCUAAAGAAUUUGCCAUCUAUGACGUGUAAAACUCGUUUUGGACCAAAGUCUGAUCAAGGAAUGGCUACCUCAUCGGCAGGAAGCAUGACUCCUCGGUCUCCUUUGGUGACGCCACGAUCGCAUCACAUAGACGUUCUUUUAGCCGGGAGGAAUGCACUUGCUGAGAGUGAUGAUCUUCCACAGGUUAGAUGCUAUGGGGCUAUCCAAUUCAAACUAAUUGUUGAAUAUCAAUAUUAAAAACAAAACUCUUUGGGAGCUCCAGCUUUCGGAGAAUAACAGUUGUUUCAUAUUCAUUAGCAUGGCCUUGGAGGAGGUCCUAAGUUCGAAUCGAGUAUUGAAUAUAAAUAUUAAAAACACUAUUCUUUGGGAGCUUAAGCUUUUGGAGAAUGACGAUUGUUUCAUAUUCAUUAACACUAAUCAUUUAGUUUCUUAAGAUUGCUAUCUGUGUUUUAUAUAUAGUUCAUGUUCUAGAGUAGGACUGUCAGGAGGAUGACACUGCGCAUAUUUUUUGUGUGUUGGUAGCUUGGUAUUUUUCUUUAUGAAUUUCAUACAUUUCAUAUAUGUAUAUGUAUAUGUAUAUAUAUAUAUAUAUAUAUACACACACAUGUUGGAAUGUUAUAUGCAGGGUGAACUGAUGAACUCUAAUUCUAUCAGCCUGAAAUCCAUUAGUAAGGAAAAUUAUAACUUUACUAGCAGCUCAAAUAUUGAUUGUUGUCUACAACAUUUGAACAAUUCCUGAAAACAUGGCAAUUAGAACAUCUUUAGAGCAGUAUCUGUAACUUAAUGGAACAUUUGUUACUUGGCUGCAUGCUCUGUUACUUUUUUGACUGUGAGUCAGAGACUAUUAAGUUCUGAAGUAGGGCUCAAUGGACUUUCUUGAUAUCAAACAGUGCAUUAGUGGAAGGGGUCAAAUAAAAAACCCUUUAGAUAUUUAUUCCAAAGUGGUCUAUAGUUGGGAGAAACAUGUACAUUUUCUCCUAUCUAGUAGGAGAGUCUAGCUAUUAUCCUUUUAGGAGGGUGUAGGUUUUCGUGCUUCUAGGUCAUUUUCUAUAAUUGGGCAACCUAAUUGCCAACCAAUACGGUUAAACAUGAUCUAGAGUAUUUAGAGUAUCUUGGAAUUGAGUUUUAUGAUUUUAAAAAUUAUUUGGUUUUGUGCAUCAAAUGGCUACGAAGUGAAAAAUCAAAAUCGAAUAACCUUAUAAAAGUAGAGGCUUGAAAGUUUUUAAUUCAGAUAGGGCUUGUUGAUUGUGAUCCAGAUAGUAAAAGGAAUUUACUAAAGAAGUUCAAUUGAUUUGGGUUCUUUUAUAUCAUUAAACAAGCAAAUGGCUCAUAUAGGCCAUAAAAAAGCUAUUGAUUUUGAGGCCUUACAAUCACUUCGUAAAUUGUUUUAAAAAAUCACAAAAUUUGGUUCUAAUAUAGUUAAAAUACUUAGAUCAUGAUUGAUGGUGUUAAUCGUUGAUUGGAAUUCUUUGUCAUCAUAAAUGGCUUGACAGGACGAAAGGAUGUGUCCUCCUAAAAGGAUAGUAACUAGACACACGUAUGUGGUUGUCAAUGAUCCAUAUUUUAUCCUAUUCACACUAUUGUAUUUGAUUUUAACACACUUGCAGCAUGGGUAGCGUCAAUUUUGUUCGCUUCACAUCUUUUCUGACAACCACAUUCCCACUUGCUUAAUUUAGAUGAUAAAUUCGCAGCGACCUGAGGGGCCUUGUUCAAAAUAUCCCAUAAUACAGAAGCUACCGUAACCAAUUCUUUUUGUUGUGUAUAGCCCUCAAUUAUACUGUUGGCUUUUCUUCAAGCUCUUUGUUCCUCUAUCUUACCUGCAUAUUGUCUUAUCUGACGCCAAACUUUUUUGUUUUUAUAAAACUUUGCCAUGUUAACACGGAUCUAUUAGAGUUGCCAACUAUAUGCUUGUUGUAGAACACCGGGCUUUCAAGUUGAUUUUUUUCAAGACAUUAUUAUGAGGAAAAUGCGUCACUUUCCCAGAUGGAUUGGCUUCUAUGAACUACUGUUUACAGUGGAGAAGUUCCAUACUAAACCGCCAUAGCAUUGGUGAUUAGGUACUCAGGUACUCAGUUGUGUUGCCUCCUAUCCUGGGUACAAUCCUGGGCUGUUCUUAAAAUGGGAAUGUGUACUUAUGGGCUGGGGAAGCCUAGUGCUGUUUCAAACAAAAGGAGGGAAAAAAAAAAACCAAUAAUGAUUUUUUGGCUACUUCAAUAGCUCUUGAGGUCAAUGCUUCCUAGUAUGCUAAAUUCCAACGGCAAGUGUUUUUAAUUUUAGUGAUCCUACAUAUGGUUUACUUUGACACAAGCUACAGUACUUUUAAAUGCUGAGAAUAAUUGGUAAUUGCAUAAUGUUUUUCUCAAGAUUCUCUAGGCUACGACAUUUGCUUUCUUAAGCUGAAUAUGGAGUUCUGGUUAAAAAAAAAAAAAAAAAAAAAAAAAAAAAAAAAAACUUGAUUGCCAUCUGAAUUGUUUCUUCAAAUGGCUCAGAUAAUUGAACUUGCUGAUAUUGCUCGAUGCAUAGCAAAUGCACCUUUGGAUGAAGAACGAUCUUUGUCAUACUUAGUUUCAUGCGUAGAAGACCUACAAGAAGUUAUCAACCGUCGGAAACAUGAGGCCCUUACCGUUCAGACAUUUGGCACACGUAUAGAGAAGCUCCAUCGGUGAGAAUAUCUACUUAAUUUCUCUAGCACUUUAGGUUUUGGAAUGAAUUACUGGUAGCUUACUUUCCAUUUUAUUUUAGGACUUAAGAGGAUCAAAACAUAAUAUGUUGUUAUCAUUUAUUCUGGCUAUUUGAUUUAUCAUUUAUGAUGCAAUUAUGAUCCUUUAGGGAGAAGUACUUGCAGCUUUGUGAUACAGUUGACACUGAAAAGAUAGAUAUAACGAGUACUGUAAUGGAUGAAGAAGAUGAUGUGGUCCGUAGCUUGCGAGCAAGCCCUGUUCAUCCUAUUACUAAGGAGCGUACAUCUAUUGACGACUUCGAAAUCAUAAAACCGAUUAGCCGUGGAGCAUUUGGUCGAGUUUUCUUGGCAAAGAAAAGAACAACAGGAGAUCUGUUUGCUAUAAAGGUACUAUUUUACUGCUUAGAUGUUAUAUACUUAAUACUAGGAUCCAUAGCUCCGUAAAUAGAAAACUUAUAAGCUAUAAAGGAGAACAGUGUUAGCUAUAAUUUCUUGCAAUUUCCGACUCGAACUUUCAAAAUUGUUGCAAUCAAGUGCCACAACCGAAUUUCAUUGACUAAAUGCUGACGCAUCGUUGAUUGCAUUAUCAAUCACAACAUUGCAAUAUCACUUCUAUAUUAACGAUUCAUCAAUAUUUAAUCAACUAAAUUAGAUUAUAGGACUUGAUUGCAACAAUUUUAAAAGCUCGAACCAAAAAUUGCAACAAAUUAUAGUUUUGAGGACUAAAAUGUCACCUGCCUCAUAGUUUGAGGACCAAACAUGCAAUUUACCCUAGGAAUUAUCACCAGUACAAAAGAAAUACAUUACGGAAAACUUUACAAGAAUGCUUUACAUCAGCUAUACAACCUUGGCAAUUCUAGCGAAGUAGGACCUGAAAUCCAUAUAACAAUAAAUACAUGCGGUUAAAAAAGAAAACUAAGGUCCAACUUUGUGAUCAAAUGCUUAGCUCAAUUUAAUGGCCAGAAGCUAUCCAUCACAACUAGGUUUUUCCAGCAAAAAAAAUCAUGCUCACAAGAUGUUUCACACAAGAGAUGAUGUUUUUCCAUCUUUCCUGAUCUAGACAAGUAUUGUCUUCUUGCAAUAUAAAGUAUUAAUGUGAUGUCUUUCCAAACAUUGUAUCUUUGGCAUGCAUGUGAUGAUAAAAAGCUAGUUUUCAUUGUAAACAGGUCCUUAGAAAGGCAGAUAUGAUUCGGAAAAAUGCUGUUGAGAGUAUAUUGGCUGAACGUGACAUCCUGAUCACAGUUCGAAAUCCUUUUGUGGUGAGUAAUCUCAAAAUCAUAAGUUUUUCUACACUCAAUACUAAUAUUUUGCUUUCACUUUCUUUUGUUUUUAUAAGGUACGUUUCUUUUAUUCCUUUACAUCUCGGGAGAACUUAUAUCUUGUUAUGGAGUACCUAAAUGGGGGAGACCUAUAUUCAAUGCUGAGAAAUUUAGGGUGCUUGGAUGAGGAUGUUGCCCGGAUAUAUAUUGCAGAAGUUGUAAGCUCAUUUACUCUGGUUUUCGGGUUUUCUGGUCUUUUUCCCCCAAAAAUUUUCCUUUAAAGUAGGAAUAAUAUUUUGCAGGUACUUGCUUUGGAGUACUUGCACUCUUUGCGUAUAGUUCAUCGAGAUUUGAAGCCUGACAAUUUGCUGAUAGCUCAUGAUGGUCAUAUCAAGGUAUUGGACUUAUCUAUUUUACGUCCUUGGAGAAAGUGUAAUAUAAGGAUUUAAGUUUCAAGGCACGGGGCCGGGUGCAGCACUGGUCGCUGUGGCUGGCCACCAUGCUGUGCCAUGCCGACAUGUUGACGUGGCUUGUGUGCUGCUCACAUUGCUAUCAGUGUGCCUACAAACUUUGUUAUCUUGAUACCAAUGUGCUAACACACUUUGAUAUCAGAAUUUUAUUUUCUAAUUAGGCACUGAUAUAUUGUAAUUAUUCUUAAAAAAGUUUUUAAUCAAAUCUUUGUACUCUAUUGGCAUGUCGACUUGCUAAUUUCAAAGAAAUUUUCUAAAAACUGUGCAAGAAUUCAUUACACUAGAGAUUGAAAUUUGAGUAGAAAGCCCAAUUCCCCCAAAUUAACUCUUCCAUUUUAAUUUUUAAUGGCAAUGUAUGGAUAAUGCUUAAAUGGAUAAAGCUAAAAGAUCUAGCCAUUUGUUAUCAGCAACUUCAUCAAAAAUUCAUUUGGGGAAACUAACAGUCAAAAUUUGGGGAAAUCAAGCUUCCCCAAAACUGACUCCUCAUUGCAUCAAAUUCAGAUCAUUAAAGAACGUACAUGGUAGCAUAAAAGAGUUCGAAACGACCUUCUAAAGUUAUUUUGUUGGUAAAUGUAAAAAUAAAAGGGUUGCGAGCUGUGCCAUUACCACGGCUGUCAUACUGUGCUAACACCCUGCCAUCACUGUAUGGAAUGGUGGGCAUGGCUGAUACCUGUGUCUAAAGCUUUGAUAUAAUCUUAAAAAAGACUUGAGAAACAAAAAUAAACACCUUCAAGCUGAUUAUAGUAAGAAUGCAAGGCCAACUCCAUAUGGAUAUUAUUUGUUCGCUAUUGUUUCAUUACCAGUAAAUUGUGCUUUGUGGGGUUUCCCAAGGAGUUUAGUGUUUCUUUUUUGACAACUUUUUAUACUUUCUAUAUGCUUUUUGUUCCCCCUGAAAAUCAUCUAAUAAAUAACUGCUUCAGUGACUACUAGAGUUUAUAUUUUAAAUUGGUUGACUGCAUGCAACUAAUCAUGUGUUUCAAUUUCAUCCUGUACCCACUAAUCUAUUUACAAGACAUCGUCUACAUUUGUUGGCUUACUUCGUAGUAUGCUCUAGAUAAUAGUUCAAUAUAUUAUGUUUCUAGAAGCUCUCUCUCUCCCUCUCUCCCUCUUCAUGAAUUCGUAUUGGCGAGCUUUUUCUUAACUUGACAAUAAUGGGCUUGGGGUUCAUUUAGAUUAUUUCUUGAUGGUAACGCUAAUGGAUCUGCCCUAUUUUACAUCAGUUGACGGACUUUGGCCUGUCCAAGGUCGGCCUUAUUAACAGUACGGAUCUAUCCGGUCCAGCUGUAAGUGGGACAUCAUUAUAUGGCGAAGAUGAACCUCAGAUAUCUGAAUCAGAGCACACAGAUCAACGAGAGCGGCGGAAAAAGCGUUCUGCUGUUGGCACUCCUGAUUAUCUGGCACCGGAGAUCCUCUUAGGCACAGGACAUGGUAUACAUAAUGCAAAAUUUUCCUCUAGUUUAUGUUAGCUUUAUCUUGGUUUAACUAUUUUUGCUGCCAACGAUGAUAAUGCUCUUUCUGCAUUGAUCACUGUAGGUGAAAGUGCAGAUUGGUGGUCUGUAGGUGUUAUUCUCUUUGAACUCAUUGUUGGGAUACCACCAUUUAAUGCUGAACAUCCUCAGGUUUUUUUUACGUGUCUCAUGCUUUUAAUUUUAUCUCUUUCAAUUGGACUGGUGUUGGAUGAUUAUAUUGCUGCUUAUGCUAAGGGGCCGUUUGGUUGGAUGUAGUUGCAAAAAUAGUGUAGUUGGAAAUACGUGCAAUUACAAAUGCUACAGUCGUAAAUACACCUAGUCUGUUUGGUUUUAUGCAGUUGCAACUAUGGCAGUUACAUUUCUUCUGUUUGGUAGGCUGAAGUUGAGAUUUGUAUUUGUGAUCUUUUAAUUAUUAAUAAAAACUUUAUAUAAAUAUAUAUAAUUUUUACAUAUUGUAAAAUUAUAUAUAUUUAUAGAUGAUAAUUAAUAUUAUAAAAUUAUAUAUUUAUAGAUGAUUGUAUGUAUAAAAUAUAAAACAAUAAAUAUCAAUAGUGAAUUUUAAAUUCAAACAUAUAAUAGAUUUGGUCAUAACAAAAGUAAGACAUUAUUGGACUAUGACGGCGCAGAUAAAACUGUAGCCGCUUCUGCGACGAGGUUUUUUGAGGGAAAAGAAAAAAAAAAGUGAAGCGUACGAAAAAAAAAAUCAUGCAUUGUUUUUGUUUUGAACGGGUGAGCCGACUUCAGUCCAACUGCUGCAGUUGCCUUCUCAUGCAGAUGCAACUAUAGCAGUUGGGCCUAACUACACGAAACCAAAAAAAAAUUUAUUGUUGCAUGCAUUUCCACUGCAGCUGGAAAUGCAUGCAACCAACGGCCCCUCAAUGUAUAAUUGCAUGCAACCAAACAGCCUCUCAAUGCAUGCAAUCAAACAGCCCCUCAAUGUAUAAUUGCUGUCUUAUAAGCUAUUUUUAUUUUUUCAUAUAAGUAGUCCCUGUUUUAUUAGCAUUUGUAUUAGCACAUGCAUCUGCAAUUCUCUAGGUUUUUUUGGUUUCUCCUUUUUUUUUGGAGAACUGUUGUCCCAAUAAGAGUUUUAUAGAACUAAUGGAAGUCCCAAUUUUAUUAGCAUUUUUAUCAGCACAUGCAAAUGCAUUUAUCCAGUUCUUUUCUGUACCCUGUAGUUUUUCUAAACAGUGUGUGACUAAUUACUGUUCUAACAUGCAGCCGCUUUUUAGGGCUCUCAAUCUAAUUUGUCUGUGAGAGGCUUAUUUUCGCUCAUAAUUUGGCUCGAGCUUUACUCAUUUAGGACACGGGUUGACACGAGCUCAAGCAAGGGUCAACGCUUGUGUUUGGUCCUUUCACACUAGUAGCUUCUCUGGCUCCUUGGACAGCCACCAUAAUAGAAAUCCAAUCUCACCACCACGCUUUCUUGGCGAUACAUCACGUUUAUCUGUAGAGUUGUUACUCAGACCCAGUCAGCUGGCAUCAACCUUGCCCUUAAAACUAGACGUGGACAAGGGGUCCCCAUUAUCAUAUAAGCAUGUAAGAUGAGACUUUAAUAAGAUAAAACUUCAAAAUUUUUGGUUCAGAUCGGGGUUUGGUCUAUGUAAGCCCUGCCCGAGUCUAAAUAGAUUUUUCUGCCCGUUCCUUUAAUUUUAUAAAUAUUGAUGGGAGUUAUUUAAUAUAUGGAAUGUCUUUAUUAAGUAAUAUGCAUUAAUAGUAGGCCCCGUCUGGAUAGCUAGUUAAAAUAUUCCAUGGAGUAUAUAUUUUGUGGUUUUCUCCUGAUUGGAUUUAGGGAUUCCAUGGAAUCCUAUAGGGAUUCUGUACUAUAUUUUAUCUCUAUUUGGAUGCUAACUGCAGAAUUUCAUAGUAAUUCUGUCAAAUUAGUUAAAAUUACUAAUAAAAAAAGCAAAUUUGUCAAACAAAUAAAUCUCAAUAAGCUAAAUCAAAUUGAACUGCAUUUAGAUCCUAUUUUGUUUCUAAUCAACUAAUCAAAAAAACUGUCUAGAAAUUAGCAAAUGGAGAUCAAAUUUCUAAUCAAAUUAAAAUAAAUAUAUACUCCGUUUUAUUAGUGUUUAGGGUUAUAUGUUAUAAUAGAGUUAUAUUGCACAUUUAAUAUGUUAUAUUGGGCAUAUAAUAAAGUUAUAUGCUUAUUGUUUUUCAUAAUUGUUACAUUUUACUACCUUUUUUUUUCCCCUGAAGAGAGAAGAUAUUGAUAUUCCUUCUUAACAGUAGAGUUAUUUACGGUGACAUGACUUUAUAGUUAAUGUCUAUUUUGGCUUUAAGCAAGUAUAUUUUUAUUGAAGAUUACAUGAAGCAUAUACAGAGCUAACAUUUUGCUUUUGAAGCUACUUGAGAACAGAAUUUGAAACAAAUAUUUGAUGCCCGUCUUAGAUUUAUGUCACCUACUUUGGCAUCAGCCUGUCAUCUUCUUUGAAACGUCCCAACUCCCAACUCUUAUAUUCCCACUUUGCUUUUUCUUUUUCUCUUUCUUUUUUUGUGGAAAUUGAUACAUGGUCCCUUCUUACGAGGAAGUCAUGUUGCAUCUUGGAUAAGUUUCCUGUAAAAUAAAGAAAAGCCAAUUGGAUGUUUGGUUACUACUGUUAUUAAUAUCUGAAUAGAUCUAAGGCAAAUGACCACUUAAGUUGUGUUAACUAAUGUGCAAAUACAUUUAUAACUCAUUCUAAAUUUAUUAUUUCAGAUUUCUCUAAAUUAUAGUGAUUAUCCUUUUAAAAAGUUAAGAUAAUGUGAGCAGUGAACACCAGAUACAAUGCCUCUUGGAGGUGGAUGUUUAGUACCUCCAUAUACCAACUGAAAAGCAUUAUUUUCUUGUCAUAUGUCACAUUAAAAAGUUCUCAUGUAUUUGGAAGACUCCAAUUGCUUGUGUAUUGUGAUGAUUGUGUAGUUAUAAAACCUUAAUGAUGGGAAGAUUUGGGCUUCAGGGAUAAUAACGAAGUUGCAAAGAUACGAUACAAAUAGAUAAAAAACUUCUUAAGUUCUUGUGGAUUGUAUCUUGACUAGAAUGAGUGGCAGCUUGAGAGAACCAAACCAAAUUGUGUAAUUAAUCUCCAAGUAAAAUGACCUCUCAAAUUGUCCUGUCACCUCCCCCCCACCCGCCNACUGAGUUUUCUGAAGCCUCUCAUCUUAUAAUUUAUAAGUUGAAUUAUGAUAAACAGCUGAGUAGCUUGUAUGGUCUUGUUUGUAGUCUCUAGACACACGGCAAUAUACCUUAGUAGCUUGUGUUAUUAUGAAGUUCGAAAUUUGUUUAUUUUCCAUUCUUUAAGAUUCCAUUUAUCUUGUUUUGUUGAUAAUGUAGAUUGCAGUAAUUUCAGUGAGUGGUGAACAAUUUUCUCUUUCUCGCUUACUAUCUUUUAAGCAAUGAACUUCUUACUGUUCUUUUUUUUCUUUUCUUUUUUUUCUUUUUUUUUUUUUUUGCCUUGUAGACAAUUUUUGACAAUAUUCUAAACCGUAAGAUACCUUGGCCUCAAGUACCUGAAGAGAUGAGCUAUGAAGCCCAAGAUCUAAUCGACAAGUAAGAAAUUAGUCUUGUGUUUAUUAUUUUAUCUGAUUUAGUGGCAUGGUCAUCUAUUGUCUCCUUUAUUAUUAUUAUACAAGUUCUCCAUUUAUUUUGUGAAUGAAGUUUUUUAAACUUAAUCUAACUAGUUUGAUGUUUCUAUAAUUCUUUUGCAAGUUUGUCAUUUACAGCCACAUAGUUGCAUCGUUUCUUCAAUAUAAGCUUCUUUCGCAUGGCUACAUUGCAGAAAAUUGAUUUCUUGCAUUUCCGCCUGCUCCUACAAUGUGUUCCACCAUUGAAAAUUUUAUUAUUAUGGGCAAUGCUUGUUAUAAUUAGCUGAUUUGUAUUUCAGAAAAUGGGACUCGAAGUUUAUUUACUUGAACAAUCUAAUGUUAGAUACUUAAUUACCAAACUGAAGCAAUUUUCAUGUUUUAUUUUUUUCCUUUCUUUAUUGUAGGCAGAGGAAUAUUAACUAUUAAGAUUGGUUCAUUCAUGAAAUUCUAUAGCAACCUUUAUUUGGUAUAUGCAUGAUUGUCUCCGAUUAGGACUUAGGAUGUUCUUAUUGAUAAGACUACAAAAAAUUAAAUAGAUGUUCUUAUUGAUAAGACUACAAAUAAUUAAAUAAGUACUCACUUCGAUGUCUUCCUCAUCAUAUGCUUGAAUAAGUACUUACUUCGAUGUCUUCCUCACCAUAUGCUUGAACAAGAAGUUGAACUAAAUUCACUUCAUGGUGUGCCACCUGCGGCCUGCUGCUGCUUUUGGAAGCACCAUAUGGUAUCAGAGAAGUAUCUAAGUGUUUCUCCAUUUGCCACCUGCUAUCCUGGGCCACAAAACUGUGCACGUGCUGCAUGCAGAAGAACACAUUUGAUCAAGAAAGUGUAUUCAGUAUUCUCCUAGUAGCUUUUGGAAUAUUUAUUCUUUUUGGAUUUGCAGGAUAAUUGGGCCAUCUAGUUUAUCAUAUGGGUUCUUAUUUGAUGUCUGGAGAUGAUAUGUAAGCAUGGGUGCUGAAACUUGGUUUCCUAGUUAUUUCAGUAUAUGAUUUAGUUGGACAUUGUGUUUCUUGUUAGAUUGUCCUAUAUUUAGGCCUUUUAAGUCAUAUUGCACUUCCAUUUGAAGUUAACAAGGGUUUGAGAGGACUACUAGUUAAUGGCUUUUCUUGGCAGUAAGGGUUUAAGGAGGUAGAAAUUAGAACAUCGAAAAGUGCCUCACCUUCUUUCCUGCUUGGACCCUUAAUCUGCAAAAAGCUCCUUAAUAAUACUUUUUUAUUUUAUUUUUUUAUCUCAGUGAAAUUUUCAUAGGUAAUCAACAAGUCUCAGAAUGUUCUCCUGUUCAGUAAACUUUAAAUCUGUAAUCAACUGAUUGCGGCCACGACAAUUACUCUUAAGUCUCAGUUAAGUCUUUCCUCGUAUAUGAGAAUUAACAGCCCCGACUGGAAGAAUAGGCAAAGGUUCUUCUCCAUGGGCUUAUUCAUUUGAAAGCAGUCUACUUAGGCCAAUUGCCAAGAGAUAGUUAAUUCAAGAUCGGAUUACUGGUUUGGCAACAGAUGGAGAAAGAAUGCAAUGUCAUAUUUUGUUGGACAUAACGCUAUAUGGAUAUUUUGAGAAAGCACUACUUGAAAAACUACUAAGCAAAAUUGCAUCCAAGUAUGAUAUCUAUGUAUCUAUUACAAUAGAAACUAUAGCUGUUACUUGUAAUUUGUAAACUAAACAAUUGCAAGAAACUGUUAGUAGAUUAUAGACAGAAGUUUACUAUGUUGAAGAAGAGUUAAGAAAGUGCGUCCACAAAUUGUAAUAUUUGUCAGCUCCAUCAACCCACAAAGUUACAUUUACACUCAACAAUCAUCAGAGAAGGAACCAUCUUUACCCAUUAUCCACUAGGAUAAUGAAAUUACCUUUUGUCUCUUUUAACUUUCACUUUUUGCUUGUUCGUUAGUAUUACUGAAAAUUAGUCACCAUCCUAGGAAAAUGAGCGUGAUUGCUUUUUGUUUUUUGUUUUUUUUUUCUGAAGUAGGAUACUUAGAACAGUAUCUUCCAUAUGUCCUGUAAAGUAUUCAAAAAAUGUUGCAGUCAGUAUGCACAUGGCUAGGGUAUUAAAAUAUCCAUGCUUCAUAGGUUAUGAUCAUAUUCUGCAAUAGCUUGUAUAUUUGUCAAAAUCUUAACUGUUAAGAUCUUUGCUUCUAUGCCUAUGGCCUUUCUCUUAAGAAAAAAGAUGUCCAUUUCUAUAUAUUGACUUCAUUUGCACUUUAGAAUGAAUGAGCUCACAAGAAAUACUUCAAACAAAUUGAAAAACUUAAAUAGCAGACUGGACAUUUAGAACAUAAAUUUGGAACAAUCUAAACCUUGGAAGUUCUAUUCCUACUCAUAAUCUUGUUCUCUAUUAGUUUCUAAAAAGCUAUCAAAAGUGAUUACUUCGGUGAAUUCUGUAUGGCUGUAUUUCAUUUUGCUGAUAACUUGCUUGAAUACCUUUCUGUAAAAGAGCAAAUCCUUGCCUAUCAUUUUCAGCCCUAACUUUCUUCUUACUAGUAGGAUGAGCUAACUAGGUCGAUAAAUGCUGAAUUCUGUAAGCUAGGAUUUGUCUGAUAUCAGCACUAAUAUAAUAUGAACUUCUGUUGCAUUUCGCUAAACAUUUUACCAAGUCAAAGCAGCUUCUGUUAUGUGCAUAUAAUAUUGUUUUCACAGCCAUGCAAUUCUAUGUGCAGCUAUCUAUCUCUGAUGUUAAAAUCUAGAUGAUGAUGCAAUUUAGCUUCACCUAAUGAUCAUCAAUAUUCAAUGACUUCUUCAUCUUUAACUUCCAUGCAGAUUAUUGACAGAAGAUCCUCAUCAAAGGCUUGGAGCCCAAGGUGCAUCAGAGGUAUGUUUGUGCUAUAACAAGUUCAAGCAGCACUUUCAUCAAAAGAAAUGUGCUGAAAUUUAAGAUCUGUAUCUUUAAUUCUUUUUUGAUAAAUUUAACCUAUAUGUCAUUAAUUCUCUAAAAAGAGCUUUUCUUUCAGGUGAAACAGCAUGUCUUUUUCAAAGAUAUUAGCUGGGACACUAUAGCAAGGCAGAAGGUGGCAUAAACUGAAAUGACUUGCUUUCUUCCAAGAUAAUAUUGGUUGCAUGUUUUUCUGUUUUUGAUUAAGAAAUAUCUCAAGUCCUCCUUUUACAGGCUGCAUUUGUUCCCUCUUCAGACAGUGCACUUGAUACUAGCUAUUUCACUAGCCGUUACUCUUGGAAUCCAUCAGACGAACACAUCUAUGAAGCGAGUGAGUUUGAGGAUUCCAGUGAAAAUGGAAGUGUUAGUGGGAGUAGCAGUUGUGUAAGCAAUCGCCAAGAUGAAGUGGUACGAUCCCUACCAAAUGAAACUUAGGAAUCUUGUUCUGCUAACAGUUUCUUGCCGUAAUUCUCGGAUCAAACAAAUAAAAUGAUAAAUGUUUCAAUUGAAUUAUUACUAAUGUUCUGAUGGCAAUAGAUUUUUGUAUUCUUUUUCUCUUUUGCUGGAAAGUGCCUAAACUUAUUAAUUUGCAAAUCAUGACAAACAGGGGGACGAGUUUGGAGGGCUUGCUGAGUUUGAGUCUAGCUCAUCUGUCAAUUAUUCAUUCAGCAACUUUUCAUUCAAGGUAAAUAGACAGCUCACGAAUAUAAAAGUUUUCUCUUCUGUACAUCUGUUAAUUCUAUAUUUGAGGCACAAACAACUAUUGGUUAUACAUGAAUAUGUAUGUUUCAAAUAUCUUUUUCUGUGUUACGAUAAGCAUUACAGUCCUCUUUGAGGAGUUGGAAUUAUGUAGAAAGAGGAGAUAUCUUUUUGCAGAGUGAGUUGCUCUCAAAAUUAAUAUACUUAGUCGGAAAACAUUGACAUUAAAUUUCCGUUAGCAGUAGAACUCUCUUCCCACUUGUUUGAGCCUUUGUUCAAUUAUCCCUAUGUACUGUGACAAAGAUGGUCUGAUGUCUUAGCAAAGAAGAGACAAGGGUGAGAAGAAACUUGACAUGAAAUCUAAACUCACUGAAACAUUAUCCUUUUAAGAAGAUUUACGAUAAUUAGUAUCACAACAGCGGCACUCUCUACUUAGCUAUAAAGUGUGCAUUGAGAUAAAUAGCUAAAACAACAUCAAUUCUAGUGCAUAAACUGAGGUGGAUUAGAGUUUUAACGUCCUUAUAAUUAUUUUCUUUAUAUGUUGGAAAGUUGGAUCCAAUCAUGGGCUGACUAUUGGAUCUACUUGUUGUAAUGUCUUCCCAUAAAGUUAUGCCCUUUAUUUUUGGGUGAAAAAGAAAAGUAGUUUUCGGAUCGGCAAGUCUUCUUUAUUUUAUAUUCAAUAGAAAGUUCGGAGUUAUUAAGUGAUUUUUCUUACUAAACUUGAUGAUAUAUACCAUUUAGAUCAAAUUUACUACCUAUGAGUCGGCUAGUGUGCCAAUUGUGCUACUAGCAGGGUGCAGUGGCACGAACCAUGCUAAUGCCGAUUAGGUAUGCCUUGUGUCAUUGGCGUGGCGAUCCUUGUCAAGAUAAUAAUAUCCCAGAUGCUUGUCAGUCUUUUGCAACUAGGGUUGACCAAACUGCUGGCUGCAGAUCAAAAUUCGGAUAAAAAAAGAUCAGUGAAGUAAAUAAUUUGCAUAAGAAAACAAAAAUCUCUCUAGAAAUUAGCUAGUGUACCAUAGAGGAGCUGCUAAAGUGGCAAAACUUCGAGAAACAAAAGAAAGUAUGAUAUUUUUGAGACAUUACGAGGCUUAAUUGUGUAAUAGAUUUAUCUGGAAGAAAAUUAAAACUACAGAUUGUUGUUCAUGUAUACCAGGUUCAUGGAGGCUUUCAAAAAUAAUUUGAAUCAAGUCCAGAAAAGCCUUGAAAGUUUAGAAUCUUUUGAAUUUGCAAACUAUACCUCAAGGGCCACACAGAAGACUAGUUUUCUACUUUCAUUAUGAGAAUGUUAUAAAAACAAAAGAUACCAACACAUACUCUAAGCCAAAUGACUUUAUAUUGAUGGAUGCUGAUAGAAUCCCAAAGUGAAAGUUAUUGGAAGUUACUCCUCUUAUUCACUAUAAUCUACUAAAUGUUCUAUUGCGAAUCGCAUGUUAGGAGAUAUCAUCAAAUAAACAUCUAGAGGCACCUGCUAUAUUAGUAAGAAACUUUACUAUGCAGAACCGCAGAAUUUCUGAGCUACAUCUGUUUGAUUUUUGUCGCACCUGCAUGCUUUGUCCCUUCUGUACAUUCCUUCUAUAUGUAUACUGUACUGUAAAAUCAGCCUAGUCAUCUCGUUAAUGCUUUCAUCACUCCAUUAAAAGAUAACUUGGCAAAAUCUUGAAUGUUGUUGUAUCUAUUCAAAACAGUGAUAGGAGAGUUUUUCAUGCGUGACUUUGUGCUUCUUUGCGGGAAAAAAACAAUCUUAUUCCUGCUUAUGCAUCCAGGACCUUUAUGCUUAAAAAAUGUGAAAAUGUUCUCUCCAUGCUAUGUUCGUAUCUUAUGCUGGCAUUACAAUUUUUUAUUAACUCAUUAUGUGCUAAUUGGUAAACUCCAUUAAGUGCUUUUUCUAUUUGUACUUUGCCUUUUCUAGAGGGUUCCUUAGCUCCGAUAGGAUUAUUUCACUUUGCAUGCAGAGAUCCCAUCCUGGUAUAUUUUAACAUUAUUCUGUGGGAAGAACAUUGAUAAAAAAUUGAAACCAAAACAACUUGAAAUCUAUCCAUUUCGUUGUCACUUGAUUUCCGAAAAUUCAUCUUAAGCUGGUGUGAUUAGGAGUAAUUUUGGCAUAUAGACCAUACUCUGUGAUGGCUUUGUUCUUGAUUAAGAUUUUUAUUGUGUGCUUCCAUAUCUUUAUAUUCUUGAGUUUAAACUUGUUCCAUGCCAUUCAAAUUGAGUUCUGUUAAAUCUCUUUUGUAACCUUGAUCUCUUAACUUUAGAAAUACUUUUUUAGAUGCGUAGGUACACAACGUUAAAAAAUUAUAUAAGCUCAUUUUUCUAAUAUAACUUCUUAUCUAUCAUCAUGGUCCUAAUGCCUACGGUUUCGCUGCUUAAUUGGACAUUUGGACCACAUGUAAACAGCAAAAGCCUCAAUGAAAAUUGUCUUCAUGGAUCAUUAUCUUUAUUCUGCUUUAAUAGCUGAUUAAAUUGCUUCUUUCCCCUUUUAUUUUCAUUUAAAUUCUCCUUCUACUUUGAAUUGGAUAUAUACAGCUUGUGUGCUUUCAAAAGUACGGAGGCCUCUAUGCUAUUGAAUUAUUUUCGAUAAUAGGACGUCCGAUUCGAUGAUCGGCUUUGUUAGACAUGAUCUAUACUAUUAAAACUAUCUAGAAACCAAAUUUUAUAAUUUUUCGCCAUCAUUUGCCAAGUGAUCGAAAUAAUCUAAAAAAGGGCUAUUUUAAUGGCCGAUGUAGCACGUUUGUAAAUUCAACAGUGUAAAACAAUCAAAAUUAGGUGAAAUUUUAAUAGAAAAUUCCCUUUUACCAUCAAAAGCAAGAUCAAUACUUCUAAUUUGAAAUUUGUGUAUUCUACUACUGUUUUUUAUGAGUUUUUUAUUUUCAAUCAUUUAUUUUGAGACUGUUUGUUCGCUAGGCAAAUGAAGUUAAAAAAUAAUAAAAUUUGGUUCUAAUAGGGUAGUUUUUGUCUAACGGAGCCGAUGAUUGAAUCGAAUGUCCUUUUAUCGAAAACAAUUUUAAAGCAUAGAGGGCUUUCGAAAGCAUAUUGUUCUAUGUAUAUAUAUAUAUAUAGAGAGAGAGAGAGAGAGAGAGAGAGAGGUGCUAUUAAUAGCACCAAGCAUUUGAUGCUACCAACUUUUUCACUAUUAGAACUACCUCUUUGACUAUUUCUGCCCUUUAGAUCAUACUGUUCCACCAAUCACUAAAUCCUAGGAUGACCACUAUCAUCAUAACCCCACAACCCUUCAUUCAAGGGCCAAAAAAUCCUUAAGCACUAAUGAUUUAGUACUAUUAGAAGCAUUCCAGCCAAGUUCUAUAUGUGUGUGUGUGUGUGUGUGUGUGUGUGUGUGUGUUUGAUAUUGCAAUUAAAUCAUUCUUUAUACUAUUUUUCUGACCAUGUCAACAAAAUAACUGGACUGCAUUUCUGGUGAUAGAAUCUUUCCCAGCUUGCAUCAAUCAACUAUGAUCUGCUCAGCAAGGGCUUGAAAGAAGAUCUACCACCAAAACCAGGAAGUUGAAAAAGCAGUUCUGUCGGAAGUUUCUCAUUGAUUCAAAUUAAGCAGGAACCAUAAAGCACUUGAAAUGGAGCUUGUACAGCUUGUAAAUGUAAGCUUAUUACUUUAGCUCUUCAGUUUUGACUAUAAGGGCAUGUUUGGUUCAUGACUGAAAUGGAAAUGGGAAAUGGAAUCGGAUUGCAUUGAAAUAGAAAAUGGAAUCAUCCAAAAAUGUUUUGUUCAUUAUUUGAAUGGAAAUCGGAAUGAACAUCUAGGGUUUUGAGAGAACGUUUUGGUUAAAAGAGACUGAUGAUGUGAGAGGAAGGGGAGGUGUUUUUGAGAGAAGGAUUUGAGUGGUUUAUUUUGGAAUGAGUCAAUUCUGAAUUCAAAGCUGGAUUAAGUUAUAAAUAGAUUUGGCCAUUCCCAUUCCAGAGUGGAAUGGAAAUCGAAAUUCAAUUCUAGUAGAGCAAAUAAGAACUAUUGGUAUCAAUGAAUUUCAUUCCGAUUCCAUGGUGUAAAAUAGGGGACCCAGGCAAGCCCUAAGAGUUUUAUUAAUUCUGGGUUUACGUUAGUUCUUCCAGUUUCGUGUUAAUUCUGGGUUCUCUUUUUUUUUUUCUUUUUCUUUUUUUUUUUUUUUUUUGUUUCCCUCAGAUUGGAGCUCAAGACACAUGGCAAAAGCCUUUCUCCUCUCCCUAAGCUGCAGCAUUGUUGCGUGAAGUUGACCUACACUUUUAGCACCCAUGGUCUUGCGUAUUAGUGUUAUCAUUCACGGCAACAAGAGACAGCCUUGGCCAUCAUUUUUGUCCUUUUUGUGCUGAUGUUUUUACAGGGUAAGAUGGAUUAGCCUUAGAUUCUUCACCACCCCCAUCUUCCCUUAAAGCCAAGUGAGGUCAUGGUCCAUGUUUCUUUAAAAUUGAGGGAGAAAUAGAGAGAAAAAGAGAGGUAGGCUUUCAUUAUCCGGUUCUUGGCAUUGGAUGGAACAAAUGGUUAUUGAAGGUAAAAGGAUUCAGUUUUCCAUUUGGUUGAUCAAUUUUUGUGUUGCGCUUUAUGCUAUGUACCCUUCAUCUUUAUUCUUUGUUGGUGAAAUGUAUGGAGGCCACCUCAACUACAUAGCCCAUUCUGACAUAUAGACCCCCCGAAGUACUACCCUUUGUCAUUGAGAGAGGCCCCUCCUCUACUUUUGAUUAUUUCGUACAGAGAAAUUUUAGCCAGUUAAUUUGGAGAUUUUACGGAAUUGAUCGACUAUUUUAUCAGAAUUAAUUGAUUGAAUCCGCUAGAUUGAUUAACUUCUAAUAGUUAAUUAAGUGACUAAAUUAAUAAAAUUUUAACUUAAUGGGCUAUAAAUUUUAAUUUUUUUUUUAAAAAAAAAGAAAUCGGGGGGUUGUUAAUUAAAAGAAUUAAUCUAUUUCGAAAUGGCGCAGAGUUGAGGGGGUCUUCAUGUAUUUCUAUCCUUGUUUAGCUUUUACUGUAGCUUUAUUUAGGAAAUAAUUUUCGAUCUAAUCUUGUUGUGCUGAUUUGGAAAAAGAGACAGUUAAUUUUUUUUUAUUUUUUUUAUUUUUUAUUUUUUUCUGUUGACGUCACUGGCUGCAGUUUCGCUGCUGCUGCCGCCAUAGCCAUGCCACCUGUUAUCGCCGAUGGUGGUGUUUCCGCUGCCACCCUACCCUCUCUAGCGCCCCGUCUUCCCAUCCCUUUAUCUCCUCUUCCCAUCUCUCCCUCUUUCUGCUUUCGUUUUUCCUACUAGUCCGUCAUCGUCGUCUCGCCACCCCCUGCCGCCGCCGCCGCUCCUGUGGCGCCAGUCGCCGCUCCAUCCCUCUCGUCGUUGCCGCUCACCGUCAGCCACCGCACGCUGCUGCACAACCCAUUUUGUGUUCGCUCUUCCAUCAUCAUCAUCAUCAUCAUCAUCAUCAUUGUAGUGAGCUAACGACGAAAUCCUUACUAUUAAAAUACUAAUCACACUAGUAAACAAAUGUGACGUAUCUAAAUUAUCCACAAUCAAGAUAUGUUAGAUUAGAGUAAAUGAAGUUGAAAGAAAAAUAUCCUAACACAAUAACAACAAUACAAGAGGAUUUAUGUGGUUCACCCAAAUCAGGCUACAUCCACGGGCACGAAAAGGAUUACAAGAUUUGGUUAGAAAUUACCACUCUAUUAUAAUGGACUUGUGACCUUCUAAUUAAGAAAAUCUUUUUUGCUAUACAUUCAUCUAAGCACCUUUUAAAUCCGCAAAACCCGCUUUGAAAUGCCUCUUAGAAUUUCUCUAAUCAACCUGGAAGCUUUUGAAUCAAGCAAGAAAAACAAGAGAGCUAUUUCUCCAACCCUCUCUACACCUCUCUUCUCUAUCUCAAGAAAAGGAAAAUCUAGAGAGCAACCCAAAGAGAUUCUCUCUUAACAUUACUUGGCCCAAUAUACCAAAUAGGCCAACUAAAGUCCAAACCAAUUAUUAACUAGCCCAUUAGUCCAAACCAAUUAUUAACUAGCCUAUUAUAUGAGUUGUUGAACUAAAUCUAAAAUAAAUUAAUUAGGCUAAUAAUUGAAUUUGAUGUCACUAACCCAACAAUCAUUAUCAUCAUAAUUACUAUUAUUAUAAUGCCGGUCACCUCGCAAUGCCGCCGCCUCGCCGUUAGCCUGCGGGGCCUAUAAUUUCUAUGUUAGUUUCUUGCCACCAUGAAUAAGAAGACUGUAGCGGCACAAUACUUUCCAACAUCCAAAGAGCAGUUCGCCUUUUUCUUUUUUUUUUUUCUUUUUUUUUUCUUCUUUGCAUGCCGUACAUGCUGAAACUUUUUUUUUUUUUGUUUUUGUUUCUUCUUUGCAUGCUGUAUGAUUUCGAUUUUUGUACCCCAUUUGUAGGAGGCGAUUUUUUGCUCGUGGUUCAUCAUCGUUCACGAUCUGCAAGAAAACGGAACGUUUCGAGUCUAAUCCCUUAUUCCCGGAGAUUGAGCCGUCACAGAAAAUUGAAUUAGAAUUAGAUCUGAACUCCCGUAUGUUAUAUAUUUAUAUAUAACUUAAUAUAAGAAUAUUAAAUCACAUUCGCCCAUCAAGGACGUGUCCAUAUACAUCCUAACCGUUAUAUCUACCAUAUUUUUAUAGAUCAGUUUGAAUAAACCGACUGUAUUUUUAUAGAUCGUUUUGAAUAAAUCACAUAGGCCACAUCCAAUAUUAUCUCACUUGGCCUAGUGAUAUAUUUAUAAAACACCACCACAAAAUAAAUUUCUUUUCUCGUAUGUUAGAAAUUAAUCGGUACAUCACAAAAACGUAGCGGAAGGUAAUUUUUUAUUUUAAAAUUUUUCAGAAGCUAAAUAUAUAUCACAUAUGAAAAUCAAAAUCUAAGAAAUUAAUCUAGUGCCAGCAGAUUAUUCUUAUAUUAUUAUGCAAAAAAUUUAAUCUAAAUAAAAGCUCUUUAUAUUUAGUGAUCUUAUCGUGGAUCAGUUAAGAUUUCUUGAUUUACUGUGCGGUAGGUAGUAUAUGUUUCGAUCAUUAAUUUAAGGUUCUGUUAUAGCUGCACACGUGUUCGACCUCUACGCGCAUACACACAAAAUCCACGCAUACCCGAUCGAUUCUCAUCUCACGAACCGGAUGAGUUGUGAACCAUUUGGACGAUACUAGCAAUCCCUUCAUGAUUUACCAGCCGACGAAGAAUAGAGAAGUUGAUCGGAAAAAGAUACGUGCGUGGCAGACAAAUCGAAAAGUGAUUGAUGUUAUAUGCGUAUACAUACAAAAUCCUCAAAUUAAUUAAGGAGCAUGGCACUUUAAUUAAGGUAGACUUUCAAUCUUAUGGCACUAUGUGCCGUACGGCUUCUGCCCUUUUUAAAAAUUUUUUUUUUUAAUCUCACAACUUUUUGUACGUAUACAUUUACACCUAUAUGUACAUAUAGAAAUCCAUUUGGUAAAAUCUUAUCUAAUAAGAUUUUCUCUCUUCAAUAAAAUUAGGAAAAACUUCAAAUAUCCUCUCUGUGGUUUCACUUUUUCUCACUUUAAUAUCCUGUGGUUUAAAGUGUAUCAAGUUAAUACUCUGUGGUUUUGUACUUUCUCACUUUAGUACCCUGUGGUUUCAAGUGUAUCAAGUUAGUAUCCUGUGGUUUUGCACUUUUUCACUUUAAUAUCCUGUAUUUUAAUAUUUCAUUAAGAGAAAAAUAAAAUCACAGGAUACUAACUUGAUACAAAAAUAAAACUACAGAGUAUUAACUUGAUACACUUUAAACCACAGGGUACUAAAGUGAGAAAGUGCGAAACCACAGGGUACUAACUUGAUAUAUUUUAAACCACAGGGUAAUAAAAUGAAAAAGUGCGAAACCACGGGGGGUUUUCGAAGUUUUUCCAUAAAAUUAAGUAAUUAAAUAUUCAUACUUAUCUAACUAAAUCAAAUCCAGGUAAAAUCUUAUCUUAUAAGAUAUUAUGAAUAUUUAAUUAUUCUCUAAUCCAAUUAGAGAUAAAUAUUAAUUUACUUCGUAUUUAAUUAGAUCUUAUCUAAUUUUAUCCUUAUCUAAUAAGAUUAUUUACUAAAUAUUUAAAUCUCGUUUAAGUAUCUUUUAUGAUUAAAUAUUAUCCACUAAUCCAAUUAGGGAUAAAUUUAAAUCUCGCACAUAAUUUUCAAACUGAUUCUAAGAUACUAAUCUAAUUAGGAUUGUCAGUAAUAACUGACUUGAAUAAUUAAAUCUAAUUUAAUUAACCAGCUUUCUCUUGUUUUCAUCGCUUACACUAAACUCUUUAGUGAACGACUCUCAUCCAAAAGAUUCGAGUGCACACAAUUCCUAAUGCGUAUGAUCGCAUAGGUUCAUUACCAUUCAGCAGUGAAGCUCAACAUCAAACUUCUUGAUAUUUAGUUAGAACUCUUCUAAUCGAUAAAUAAUAAUAAUUCAAUUCAAAUCAUUCAUAUUCUCUCACCGUCCGUGAGCACUGAGUAACACCAAGCAGUAUAUCACGACAAUCCAGAAUGGUGGUAACGAAUGAAUCCUUCUGCUUACAGUUGCCGUGUGACUAAUUCCUUCCAACAUACAAUGUCCCAAUCGAAUUAAGAUCAUGGUUACUCGUCAAACCUUAUCAUUAGACUAUAUGAUUAGAAUAUUUGAAAUCAACUCAAUAUAAUAAAACAAUUGGAAGCUCUUUUCACAUACAAUGUACCUAGGCCAGGGAUUUUCCGAGUCAAGUCUGAUAAACUGUAUAGAACAUUCUCCAUCAUCAUUGAGAGUAUUGGAUUUCUUAUUUCUCAUUUAUAUGCCUCACCGCAUAAAUCACUACAGUCAAUCAGUACCGAAUAUAGACCCGUGUCCAGAGUCUAAAUAUUAGGACUGUCAAAUUGUAGCAACCUAUACGUGAAAUAACUAUAAUGCCUCAGAUCUGAGGAGUAUUUCACACAAUUGUAGUAAUAAACUUAUCACUGGCAAGCAUGAAACAAUAUGACUGUUCAACUAAAUAGUCACACUAAGUGUACUUGUUCUCUAGCAAGCACCUAUAUGCUUGUUUUAGUGUCCUUACAUUAGUGACUUGAGAUUCGUCACCUCAAUUAGAAACAUAGUAUACUGCGGCCUAUACGAAAUAUUACCGUCCCUGUAAUAUUUCUCUGGCUAAGAGUAUUUAAAAAGUCUCGUACAAAAAUAUACAUAUCUCAAAUUUCUAUGUCACGCCCCGGGGUCCCUUUUAGUUUAAAACAUAGCGGAAAAGCGUCUGAAUUUUUUUUUUUUUUUUGAAAAGCCUGACCCCAGAGUAUGCCAGAUCCGCCACAAACACAGGGAAUCCACUGUUCACACGGACAGAGUCUCCCCUAUAUUUGCACGGCGUCACACAAGUACAAGAANUCAACAGAGAGUUUAGUUGCACUGUCAAAAAAUCUCAGUCCUUACAUUCUAACUCUUAGAAAUAUGCCUUUUUAAACAAAGACUCUAUGGACGAUUCCUACCAAUAUUGCAUAGAUAUGAAUAGAAUAUCUGUUCUCAUAUUAUGAAUUAUAAAUGAUUAAUAUAUAAAUACCCUUAAGCUAGUAUCACCAGAUUGGCUUUUGGACAUAUAACUAACAAUCUCCUACUUACAAUAAAGCCAAACAUUCACAUAUUUAUAUGCGUCAUUUAAAGUCAACUCUUCAACCCUUAGAGAGUAAACUUUUUAACUAGUGCAUCCAUUGAACUAUUCAUGAUUAUUAUUUUCUACUUAGCAAUAUUAUUGGAAGUAUAAAUCAUUUCCAUCCACAAAAUAUGUCUCGAUCAUUGAUGAGAUCUAGACUCUAUAUGAACCAUAUCGAGUUCUAAACUCCAUGAAUCAGAAUAUAUUCUUUAGAACAUCUCAUGCAGUGCCACACUUAGCCCACAUGAUAUCUUGUUCGAACUCUUCAAGCAAUAUCAACUUUAAUGAAAUCUCUCUUUUCUCUCUUCAGUGUCAAUGCUUCACAAGUAUCAAGUAAUAUCUAUCAUUAACAUUUACUGUAUCAAUCGUCGUACAUAGAAUAAUAUAUGUGUAGGUUCUAAAUAUCGAAUCAUAAAGGAUCCUAUAUAAGUGUAUCCUUUCUUACAAUAUCACACAUACUGUUAGAGACGACUUCCUCCCAAAGGAUAAUAAUGUCUCUCGUUAGAAUUCAAUCUUAUUGAUCUCUUCAACAUAAUCUUCUAUGGACGUAGUUCAAGCAAUUUAUCAGACCUAUCUCUAUAGACCCGUAUUCUUCAUAUGAAAAUAUAUAACUAGAUUUUUCAUCGAGAAGUUCUUGACAAUCAAUAUUAUCAUACAGAUUAAGUUUCUUAAAUAUCAAAUAUUGCUUAUGUACAAUACGUAAAGCACAUUCUAUUGUCAUGCCUCGGGGCCGAUUUUAAAAGCCUUUUUAUAACGAUUACCAUUUCAGAAAUCAGAGUUGCGGAAAACGUGUCUUUUUUUUUGGAAUGCAACCUGGCCCACGUGAUGUACAAACCCGCCACAAAUACAAAGUUCCUCUAUCCACUCGGACAGAGUCUCCUUUGUAUUUGCACGGCGUACAAACAACAACAUCAGGAUCUCAACAACAACCUACAUUUACAAUCCACAAUCAAUUCAUGUCAUACAUUUUCAUAUAGCUAGCGAUCCUUAGAGAUGAUGCAUGCCCCAAACACUCUUUUGGCGCUGGAUGAUGCAAUGCACGGUACAACAAUCAUCCUAUUUAAAAGUACUCCCCACCCAGAAGCUUUGUUUUUAAACUCUAAUUCAAUCAUUUACAAAAACCAUUCGAAAAUUCUUUUAAAAAUUGUUUCCCACUCAGAAACUCUAUUUUGAAAACCUACUACUUCGAAGGGUAGAAAACCACAAAGUAUACAUAAAUCCAAGAACCAUUAUUCAUAAAACCAAAACCACAGAUCUAAAAUCUCCAAUCACAUGCAUAACAGGAAAUCACCAACUCAACAGUUCAUAAAUAUUCAAACAGUAUUAUUGAUCAUCUAACUAAACCAUUUAAUUAUUAAAUUACUAAAAGCAGAAAUGAAACAUAACUAGGGUGACGGUCGCGACUGCAGUCUAGCUAGUACGUCCUCCCGUCAUGCCCGAAAGCUAACUCCUUGUCCGGACCACCUAGGGAAAUCACUACAACAAAAACGGUCUAUAGCGACACUUUUAAAUGUAGUUACAUGUCAACAAAGUGCUGCUAGCUAAAAUUACCGACACUUUUAAAAAGUGUUGCUAUAUGUGGGGUUGCUAGGUAUAUACUGACAGUUAAAGAGUGUCGCUAUAACCUAAAAGAGUGCUGCUAAUUUACGAACACUUAUUUAAGCAUUUAGCAACCGCCGAAACUCUAUCUCGUUGGCUGCGGUGGCGGAGGAGGACGACAGUAAAGGUUCUUCGUCUAGAAUUUCAGUGGAUUGAGUGAAGAGAGAAGAAAAGAUGGUAAUUGAUUUUUUUUUUUCCUUUUCUGUUUGUAAUCGGGCCAAAUGGACUGAGUGUGGUGGGUUGAGUAGAGUAAUCUUUUAUUUUUGGUUGGAUUGGGCUUUAUAUUUAGGCAUUAGUAGAUGCGUUUUUAAGUUUUAGCAUAAAUGUGACACUUACUCAAAAGUGUCCCAAACAUGUGUCCCUAUAACCUAAUUCUGUUGUA
This 26112-nucleotide long non-coding RNA is filed under the name Ananas comosus (pineapple). Its description in RNAcentral is "long non-coding RNA (ACOM_LNC000529)". Lineage: Eukaryota; Viridiplantae; Streptophyta; Magnoliopsida; Poales; Bromeliaceae. The record is from RNAcentral.